CAUCAUAUUUAAGUUGUGUGAGAGGACAGGUUGUCCUUCGAAAUCCAGUGAUUCAAACCCCUCCAACACAGUUAGAUUGUCGUGUUGCUACAUUAUUUAAAAUGCCCGCCACAGGGCGGAAACGGAAAUGUGACAAGACGUCAGGGUGACGUAAAGGCGCGUGCACGAGGACGAGGGUCUUAUCAACAUCUUAUCAACUCAUCUUAACUUACCAAGGUCACUCAGUUAUUGAUCGGGUCUUCAAUGGCUCAAUGUCUCUGGUAAACCACAACAAGAAGCCGAGGGCAACAUCAGAGGACUGUGCAGAUCAAAAAGACAAAGAACACCCUCGGAUAAAAGAAAAUAUUAAACUCGAGAAAAUGGACAAGUGCUAGGGUAGCUUACAUUUUAUGAAAAGUGCUAACUAAAAAUGUAAUCUAAUAUCCAUUUAUCGAUGAGCCAAAUUACUGUGACAUGAGAGUUACUAAACACGUGUACUUAACACGUAUUGGCCGCUCGCGGACAAACGGCUUUACAAACUGCUAUAAGUCGACAUGGAUUGGUAAACAAAUGAAUUGGCAAUUUUAGGAAUGUCACAUAUGGAUUUAAUGAUCAUAUAAAUUUUUUAAAGAA
RNAcentral lists this unclassified non-coding RNA (612 nucleotides) under Anthonomus grandis grandis. Its description in RNAcentral is "uncharacterized LOC126734971". The record is from RNAcentral. Lineage: Eukaryota; Metazoa; Arthropoda; Insecta; Coleoptera; Curculionidae.